RNAcentral lists this ribosomal RNA (373 nucleotides) under uncultured organism. RNAcentral describes it as "partial 16S ribosomal RNA". It matches the Rfam family "Bacterial small subunit ribosomal RNA", at positions 527 to 896 of the family's 1533-position model. The record is from RNAcentral.
GGAGGGCGCAAGCGUUGUUCGGAAUCAUUGGGCGUAAAGAGCGUGUAGGCGGUCGGGCAAGUCGGAUGUGAAAUCCCGAGGCUCAACCUCGGAAUUGCAUUCGAAACUGCUCGACUAGAGUCCCGGAGAGGGUGGCGGAAUUCCCAGUGUAGAGGUGAAAUUCGUAGAUAUUGGGAGGAACACCAGCGGCGAAGGCGGCCGCCUGGACGGUGACUGACGCUGAGACGCGAAAGCGUGGGGAGCAAACAGGGAUUAGAUACCCUGGUAGUCCACGCCGUAAACGUUGGGUGCUAGGUGUCGCGGGUAUUGACCCCCGGCGGUACCGAAGCUAACGCGUUAAGCACCCCGCAUGGGGAGUACGGUCGCAAGACUA